UUGAGUGGUAUCAUUUUGCGAUUUGACGGAAAAUUACGUUUUUGAGGUUUUGGCGGGAAAAUGUGUUUUUCAGUUUUGUCGGGAAAAUGAAAUUUGCGGUUUUGGCGAGAAAACGCGUUUUGCUAUUUUGGCGGGAAAAUGUGUAUUGCUAUUUUGGCGGGAAAGUGUGUUUUACGGUGUUUGUGCGGUUUUGCAAUUUUUGCGGAAAAUACGUUUUUAGCAUUUUGGUGGAAAA
This 235-nucleotide long non-coding RNA is filed under the name Brassica napus (rape). RNAcentral describes it as "long non-coding RNA (BNAP_LNC017471)". Lineage: Eukaryota; Viridiplantae; Streptophyta; Magnoliopsida; Brassicales; Brassicaceae. The record is from RNAcentral.